CAAUAAGCGGAGGAAAAGAAACUAACAAGGAUUCCCCUAGUAACUGCGAGUGAAGCGGGAAAAGCUCAAAUUUAAAAUCUGGCAGUGGCUCACUGCCCGAGUUGUAAUCUAGAGAAGUGUUGCUCACACUGGACCAUGUAUAAGUCUUCUGGAAUGAAGCGUCAUAGAGGGUGAGAAUCCCGUCUUUGACAUGGACUCCCAGUGUAUUUGUAGUAUGCUCUCAAAGAGUCGAGUUGUUUGGGAAUGCAGCUCUAAAUGGGUGGUAACCUCCAUCUAAAGCUAAAUAUUGGCGAGAGACCGAUAGUGAACAAGUACCGUGAGGGAAAGAUGAAAAGAACUUUGGAAAGAGAGUUAAAAAGUACGUGAAAUUGUUGAAAGGGAAACGCUUGAAGUCAGUCACAUUGGCCAGGGAUCAACUUGCUUAAGUGUACUUCCUGGUUGAUGGGCCAACAUCAGCUUUGACUGUCAGAGAAGGGUAGGGGGAAUGUGGCACCCUCUUGGGUGUGUUAUAGCCCUCUGUCAUAUAUGGCCGUUGGGGCUGAGGAAUGCAGCGCGCCGCAAGGCCGGGUUUCGACCACGUUCGCGCUUAGGAUGUUGGCAUAAUGGCUUUAAUCGACCCGUCUUGAAA
Molecule: ribosomal RNA, 628 nt
Filed under: Amanita caesarea
Lineage: Eukaryota; Fungi; Basidiomycota; Agaricomycetes; Agaricales; Amanitaceae
Description: LSU rRNA
Rfam family: Eukaryotic large subunit ribosomal RNA
Source: RNAcentral